AUGAUAGCUUCCAUCGCCAGUAUGUUUGCUACAGCAAAUAAUUAUUUCAGGAACGGUGAGAAUUUCUCUUCUCGGCCUCUGUUCCUAGGUCUUGAUGUGACAAUCCUUGUCAAGACCGUUGUAUUUUUGUUCUGCUCGGGCAUCAUACUGUGGUGCUUAUGGGAUCUAUGGAGAGGAAAUGAUGACGAUGAUGACACAGAUUUUUUGGACAUGCUGAAGGAUUUGACCGCCCAGCGCUACACUCUAUACAGUAGCUGCUUAGACCAUGUGAAGGAACUGGAUGAUCGCCCGGAGAACACUGUGCACAAGGUCAGCUGUGGGAGCAGAAGACAGAGGAAGCCACGGCGGAGGCAGCCUCCAGAUUCCUAUCUAGACUCCAGCCCAGAUUAUAGCCCUGCUACUAAAUGUGACUCUGAAUACGACAAUGAAUAUGACUUUUUCUACGACAGGGCCAGUGAAUUGGAAACAAAGAGAAAACCUUUAUUUUCCUCCAAACGUCAUGUCGAGUUACCGUCUGACUGCAAACAGUGUGGGUCUAUGCACCUGUGCAACAACGAUGAUGACAGGUUCGUCAACAUCAGAGUGGACACUCCAGAGUCCAGAAACGACACCGCCACCAGCAGUGAGACGGAGUACAGCUUUUGGCCUCUGAACAUUAUGGGGUCAUCCGAUUCUAUCAGCUCAUUUACCUCCUGGUCCUCUUUCAGCUCAACAUCCAAUCCAUCUACUCUUGUGUCUGAGAUGAGUGAAACAGUCCAUGCUACACCAGUGGUUUCUAAGGAUGAGCCAUCCUCUACUAACAAAGGUCCUGCUGGCAGGUCAGAGUUGAAUAACCCACUGUCAGUAAAAAUGCAAGGGAGGCACAAUCUAGAGCACAGCAUCCGCCGAAAGAUCAUACGCAGGUUAUGGAGACGUGCCAUAUUGUUGGUUCGAGUUAUUGGGAUGCUACUCCCAGAAAGACUGAAGCAGGCCACAAAGAGGAUUCCUGAAAUUCUUUUAAUUGUUGAAGAGGAAAAUCAUAAACCAAUGCUAUGUGACAAAGUUACAGAUCCCAACCAGCACGACAACGCAAAGACCACAUUUAAAAAAGAUAACACUACUCUAUCCCAGGUGGCAAUCAAUGGUCAGAAAGAUCUUGAACGGGAAAAGAUGGAGACUAAAAAAUCUAGCAAGCCCUUAGGUUUGAAAUUAUGUCCAGGGUUGGUGAAGACUCCUCGUCCUCAAUGUUUUGUCCAUAUUUUUGCAUAUCCCAAGCCAAGAUCAUUUUUAAUCCGUAUGAUUGGAGAGGAAACAACUGAUUUCCUUGAGAUGACUCUGAAGCAAAACCGACUACACCACCUACUGGGAGUGCCUACUCUCUACUCAGACUCCCUGGAGAAGACGGCAGCCGAGGAGGUCACACCACAGCCAGUUCAGUUGGAUUUCCAUGGUGUAGAAACCCCAUUCCUCCCCCAGGAGGUAAGGAACAGACUUGAGUGUCAUGUGAAGCAUAAAGUGAUAAAAAAGCAGUGGGCUCUUCCCAAGCUUGCUUUGAAGUAUAUAAAAGCCUUUAGGUCAGAAGGCGCUAAGUGUCAGAGAUAUAAGAGUAUGGACAACGGAAAUCUGAUUAUAGACAGUAACGCUGAAAUAAUUUCCCAGCCUCUGAUCACUUGCCAACAACUUCAGGAUGAGAUAGGGCCAAUAACAGUAACAUCACUGGAAACAGAGGGGGAGAAAUCCCUCUCUGCAGCAUCAAGUCAGUCUGAUUAUUCUACUGAGGAAAGUGUAUGUAGCAGCGUUCUUGUCAUAGAUACAUCCACUCAACCUGAUGCGUUGGAAGUUAGCAAAACUUAUCCCAGGACCAAAUUUGAAAUAGAACUGAAGAGCAAGUGCCUGGAAAUCAGAUUGUCUAUGCCACAGGGAAGGGUUCCUCCGAAGAGGUUGGUAAAGAAGCUAGUCGGACCAGGUAUGCGCAUCCCUAUACCCAGAGUGAAAAAUAUUUUAUUCAUGAGAAAGGCAUCCAUUAAACUUCUUGAGAUUAACCUGAAAAAGAAGCAUUUGGCAAAUGCAUUGAGAGCACCUACCAUCUUCAGCAAGUCUAUGGAACUGAUCACACCCAAAGAAACUCCUCAGCCUAAGGAAGUGUCAGAGGCAGAGUUUGAAUUGAAUUGUUCUAAGGCACUUAUCAGCAAAGAAAUGAGAGACAAGCUAGAGUUCCACAUCAAACGCAAAAAAAUCCAACACCUCUUGGGUCUGCAGGAAUCUCUUAAUGCCCUCAUAUCCAAGGCACCAAAAAUGGAUCCCAGCAGGGUUUUCCCAAAGCCCAAGUAUGACAUUGAGGUAGUGACAAGUGAUAUGCCCUUUUUGAUUGACGAACAGAAAGAGGCUUUAGAGGGCAAUGUGAGGAAAAAGAAAACUCACAAGAACUGGGGUUACCCAAAACUGAUAAUGGACUCUCUGAAGGCAUUUGAGGUUCCCGAGGCCAAAAACCUGGACAAGAGACACCCUCCAGCAGCUUCCAAGGAUGUCCCUGUGGAGCCGAUGUCAUCAACAUCCUCACAGAACUGA
Molecule: long non-coding RNA, 2547 nt
Filed under: Oncorhynchus kisutch (coho salmon)
Lineage: Eukaryota; Metazoa; Chordata; Actinopteri; Salmoniformes; Salmonidae
Description: lncRNA (ENSOKIG00005044121.1)
Source: RNAcentral